AUAUGGAAGUCAACCUUAACGUCUUUGCCGUUGAAUUUGUGUGUGCUGUGUGACCGUAUGUGUGAACAACCGCGAAGUUAUCGAUUGAUCAUUGCACACAGUUUUCCGAAAUAGCGAAGUGGGAAGGCGUUUCAGUACAUCUGUGUUUCGCUAGUGGAGUUUCGUGCCGCAUAUCUGCAACUUGAAAGCUCAAAGUUGUUUCUCGAUUCUGUUAUUUACACGUUCGUCAUGAGCGCCAUCGGUGGUAAUGAUGAAAUGGUAACGAGUAGACUGAAAGCCUUAACAGAUAAGCUUGAAGAAAUGGAUGCAAAUUUAUUGAGAGUUAAGAGGGAAUAUAAAGAAUUUCUGGAACUUAACAGGACUGUUUGCAGUUAUAUUCAAGCCUCCAUCAGAAGUGUCAGCUACGAUGAAGACAAUCCUGACACACGAAACACUGGGAGUCAGCUACGAUGAAGAAAAUCCUGACACACGAAACGCUGGAAGUUAAUAAA
This is a long non-coding RNA of Schistocerca piceifrons (Central American locust), 491 nucleotides long. RefSeq lists it as uncharacterized. The transcript has 3 exons. The record is from RefSeq and is a predicted model, not a curated record. NCBI's taxonomy places the organism in Eukaryota, Metazoa, Arthropoda, Insecta, Orthoptera, Acrididae.